Molecule: ribosomal RNA, 826 nt
Filed under: uncultured Desulfobulbus sp.
Lineage: Bacteria; Pseudomonadati; Thermodesulfobacteriota; Desulfobulbia; Desulfobulbales; Desulfobulbaceae
Description: bacterial SSU rRNA
Rfam family: Bacterial small subunit ribosomal RNA
Source: RNAcentral
GCGAAAGGGGCUUCGGUCCUGAGUAGAGUGGCGCACGGGUGAGUAACGCGUAGAUAACCUGUCCUGGUGUCUGGAAUAACGUCUCGAAAGGGGCACUAAUACCGGAUAUUCUUGCUUUCUUCAAGGUAUGCAAGGAAAGGUGGCCUCUGGAACAAGCUACUGCACGAGGAGGGGUCUGCGUACCAUUAGCUAGUAGGUGGGGUAAUGGCCUACCUAGGCGACGAUGGUUAGCGGGUCUGAGAGGAUGAUCCCGCCACACUGGCACUGGAAUACGGGCCAGACUCCUACGGGAGGCAGCAGUGAGGAAUAUUGCGCAAUGGGGGCAACCCUGACGCAGCGACGCCGCGUGAGUGAGGAAGGCCUUCGGGUCGUAAAGCUCUGUCAAGAGGGAAGAAGUGCAUGGUGGUUAAUAUCUGUCAUGUUUGACGGUACCUCUAAAGGAAGCACCGGCUAACUCCGUGCCAGCAGCCGCGGUAAUACGGGAGGGUGCAAGCGUUUGUUCGGAAAUCACUGGGCGUAAAGGGCGCGCAGGGCGGCCUGAUUAGUCAAAUGGUGAAAGGCCCAACGGCUUAACUGUGGAAGUGCAUUUUGAAACUUGUUCAGGCUUUGAGUACCAGAAGGGGAAAGUGGAAUUCCCGGUGUAGAGGUGAAAUUCGUAGAUAUCGGGAGGAGUACCGGUGGCGAAGGCGACUUUCUGGCUGGAUACUGACGCUGAGGCGCGAAAGCGUGGGGAGCAAACAGGAUUAGAUACCCUGGUAGUCCACGCUGUAAACGAUGUGCAGUAGAUGUAGGGGGUGUUGAUCCCCUCUGUGUCGCAGCUAACGCA